CUUGCCCUACGGGAGGCAGCAGUGAGGAAUAUUGGUCAAUGGGAGAGAUCCUGAACCAGCCAAGCCGCGUGAGGGAAGACGGCCCUAUGGGUUGUAAACCUCUUUUGUCGGAGAACAAAACCCGGGACGUGUCCCGGACUGCGUGUAUCUGAAGAAAAAGCAUCGGCUAACUCCGUGCCAGCAGCCGCGGUAAUACGGAGGAUGCGAGCGUUAUCCGGAGUUAUUGGGUUUAAAGGGUGCGUAGGCGGUCCGUUAAGUCAGCGGGAAAAUUGCGG
Molecule: ribosomal RNA, 275 nt
Filed under: uncultured bacterium
Lineage: Bacteria
Description: partial 16S ribosomal RNA
Rfam family: Bacterial small subunit ribosomal RNA
Source: RNAcentral